This 629-nucleotide small RNA is filed under the name Pan troglodytes (chimpanzee). RNAcentral's name for it is "retained intron". The record is from RNAcentral. Lineage: Eukaryota; Metazoa; Chordata; Mammalia; Primates; Hominidae.
CAUAUUCAACGAUAACAUUAUCUAUCUAUAACAGCGUUUUUCUGCAAUGGACAUAGCUGUUCAAAUGUUUCUCUUUUUUGUGAGAGUAUCUUGGGGGUUUUAUUAAUACUCCACCCGCAUCUCCAUUCCUACCGGCAAAAACAGCAAAGGCACUAGAACCUUCAUUGAUGACUGUUUGGAUUGGUAGUAUAAUGUAUUUCUGGAAAGUACUUCUUAAAAAAUAUUUUUCUACUUUGGAUUUUUUUUUUUAAUCCAUUCGCAGACCCCUUUGCUGAUGCAACUAAGGGUGACGACUUACUCCCGGCAGGGACUGAGGAUUACAUUCAUAUAAGAAUCCAGCAACGGAACGGCAGAAAGACACUGACUACUGUUCAGGGCAUUGCAGAUGAUUAUGACAAAAAGAAACUUGUGAAAGCUUUCAAAAAGAAAUUUGCCUGUAAUGGUACUGUGAUUGAACAUCCUGAAUACGGAGAGGUUAUUCAGCUUCAAGGUGACCAAAGAAAAAACAUCUGCCAGUUUCUCUUGGAGGUGAGUGAUUGGGUGCUUUAUGUGUAACCUUGAGAUUGCUUUUAAAAUUGUAUUUAAAGGCAACAUGAUUUGUUUUCUACUAAGUAAAAAAUCAUACGAAU